GCAUCCAACGCGUUGGGAGCUCUCCCAUAUGGUCGACCUGCAGGCGGCCGCGAAUUCACUAGUGAUUAGAGUUUGAUCAUGGCUCAGAUUGAACGCUGGCGGCAGGCCUAACACAUGCAAGUCGAGCGGCAGCGGGGGGAAGCUUGCUUCCCUGCCGGCGAGCGGCGGACGGGUGAGUAAUGUCUGGGGAUCUGCCCGAUGGAGGGGGAUAACCACUGGAAACGGUGGCUAAUACCGCAUAACCUCUUUGGAGUAAAGUGGGGGACCUUCGGGCCUCACGCCAUCGGAUGAACCCAGAUGGGAUUAGCUAGUAGGUGGGGUAAUGGCUCACCUAGGCGACGAUCCCUAGCUGGUCUGAGAGGAUGACCAGCCACACUGGGACUGAGACACGGCCCAGACUCCUACGGGAGGCAGCAGUGGGGAAUAUUGCACAAUGGGCGCAAGCCUGAUGCAGCCAUGCCGCGUGUAUGAAGAAGGCCUUCGGGUUGUAAAGUACUUUCAGCGGGGAGGAAGGCAACAGCGUGAAUAGCGUUGUUGAUUGACGUUACCCGCAGAAGAAGCACCGGCUAACUCCGUGCCAGCAGCCGCGGUAAUACGAAUCGAAUUCCCGCGGCCGCCAUGGCGGCCGGGAGCAUGCGAC
RNAcentral lists this ribosomal RNA (640 nucleotides) under uncultured Gammaproteobacteria bacterium. RNAcentral's name for it is "bacterial SSU rRNA". It matches the Rfam family "Bacterial small subunit ribosomal RNA", at positions 1 to 579 of the family's 1533-position model. Lineage: Bacteria; Pseudomonadati; Pseudomonadota; Gammaproteobacteria. The record is from RNAcentral.